Molecule: ribosomal RNA, 774 nt
Filed under: Triticum aestivum (bread wheat)
Lineage: Eukaryota; Viridiplantae; Streptophyta; Magnoliopsida; Poales; Poaceae
Description: partial small subunit ribosomal RNA
Source: RNAcentral
AUGCUUGGCUUGAUGGCAGCUCCAUGCCAAUCUCCCCAAGCAGGGAAUAAGCUCUACGAUGAGUGUGAUCCUACGGUGCACGGCGACCGGGUCCUGCUGCCCCGGCAGGCCAGCUCGGCAUCACCGGCUGGGCCGCCGGAGGUGUCGACGACGUCCUCGUCGACGGGGUCGGGGAGGAGCGCGACGGAGGCAAGGGCCCUGAAGGUCCACAGCGAGGCCGAGCGCCGGCGUCGGGUGAGGAUCAACGCUCAUCUCACGGCGCUCAGGAGGAUGAUCCCUGAUACCAAGCAGAUGGACAAGGCCGCCUUGCUAGCCAGGGUGGUGGACCAAGUGAAGCACCUGAAGAGGAGAGCAGGCGAGGCCGCACAGCAAACGCCGGCUGUCCCACCGGAGACCGACGAGGUCUCCAUUGAAUUCUGCACCGGAGACGAUGACUCCAGACUGUACAUGAAAGCCUCGGUCAGCUGCGACGACCGCCCGGACCUCGUCGCCGGGCUCAUCCAGGCGCUCCAUGGCCUCAGGCUGAGGACGGUGAGAGCGGAGGUGACCUCCCUAGGAGGAAGGGUGCAGCAUGUCUUCACACUGUGCAAGGAGGAGGACGAGGAAGGCAGCGCAGCAGCAGGCCUUGCUGGACUCACGUCUCUGAAGGAGGCUGCGAGGUUGGCUCUGGCCAGGGUUGCUUCACCAGAGCUGGUAUGUGGUGGUAGCCCGUUCCAGUUCCAGAGCAAGAGGCAGAGGAUUCUCGAGUCGCAUUAUUCAAUCAUGUCCAUAUAG